Molecule: ribosomal RNA, 381 nt
Filed under: uncultured bacterium
Lineage: Bacteria
Description: bacterial SSU rRNA
Rfam family: Bacterial small subunit ribosomal RNA
Source: RNAcentral
GACGAACGCUGGCGGCGUGCCUAACACAUGCAAGUCGAACGGGGGUAGCAAUACCUCAGUGGCGAACGGGUGCGUAACACGUGAAGAAUUUGUCUAACGGCGGGGGAUAGCCGGCCCAACGGCCGGGUAAUACCGCGUACGACCUCUGGAGGGCAUCCUCUGGUGAUGAAAGCCGCAAGGCGCCGAUAGAGAACUUCGCGGCCUAUCAGCUAGUUGGCGGGGUAAUGGCCCACCAAGGCGACGACGGGUAGCUGGUCCGAGAGGAUGACCAGCCACAUUGGGACUGAGACACGGCCCAGACUCCUACGGGAGGCAGCAGUGGGGAAUAUUGCGCAAUGGGCGAAAGCCUGACGCAGCGACGCCGCGUGUGGGAUGACGGCC